This 348-nucleotide ribosomal RNA is filed under the name uncultured Bacteroidota bacterium. Its description in RNAcentral is "bacterial SSU rRNA". It matches the Rfam family "Bacterial small subunit ribosomal RNA", at positions 28 to 381 of the family's 1533-position model. Lineage: Bacteria; Pseudomonadati; Bacteroidota. The record is from RNAcentral.
GAUGAACGCUAGCUGGAGGCUUAAUACAUGCAAGUCGAGCGGGAUUGGUAGCAAUACCAUGAGAGCGGCGCACGGGUGAGUAACGCGUACACGACCUACCUCUGACAGGGGGAUAGCCCUGGGAAACUGGGAUUAAUACCGCAUAUUAUUCUGAUUAAUAAAGGAUUGGAAUGAAAGUUCAGGCGGUCAGAGAUGGGUGUGCGUCUGAUUAGCUAGUUGGUGGGGUAACGCCUACCAAGGCGAUGAUCAGUAGGGGGCGUGAGAGCGUGGUCCCCCACACGGGUACUGAGACACGGACCCGACACCUACGGGUGGCUGCCUGAGACGCCAAGGCACACAGGGGAUAGG